GAGUAACACGUAUGCAAUCCACCUGUAACAGGGGGAUAACCCGGAGAAAUCCGGACUAAUACCCCAUAAUAUGGGCGCUCCGCAUGGAGGGCUCAUUAAAGAAAGCAAUUUUGGUUACAGACGAGCAUGCGCUCCAUUAGCCAGUUGGCGGGGUAACGGCCCACCAAAGCGACGAUGGAUAGGGGUUCUGAGAGGAAGGUCCCCCACAUUGGAACUGAGACACGGUCCAAACUCCUACGGGAGGCAGCAGUGAGGAAUAUUGGUCAAUGGUCGGCAGACUGAACCAGCCAAGUCGCGUGAGGGAAGACGGCCCUACGGGUUGUAAACCUCUUUUGUCGGAGAGUAAAGUGCGCUACGCGUAGCGUAUUGCAAGUAUCCGAAGAAAAAGCAUCGGCUAACUCCGUGCCAGCAGCCGCGGUAAUACGGAGGAUGCAAGCGUUAUCCGGAUUUAUUGGGUUUAAAGGGUGCGUAGGCGGCACGCCAAGUCAGCGGUGAAAUUUCCGGGCUCAACCCGGAAUGUGCCGUUGAAACUGGCGAGCUAGAGUACACAAGAGGCAGGCGGAAUGCGUGGUGUAGCGGUGAAAUGCAUAGAUAUCACGCAGAACCCCGAUUGCGAAGGCAGCCUGCUAGGGUGAAACAGACGCUGAGGCACGAAAGCGUGGGUAUCGAACAGGAUUAGAUACCCUGGUAGUCCACGCAGUAAACGAUGAAUACUAAUUGUUUGCGAUACAAUGUAAGCGGUACAG
RNAcentral lists this ribosomal RNA (746 nucleotides) under uncultured bacterium. Its description in RNAcentral is "bacterial SSU rRNA". It matches the Rfam family "Bacterial small subunit ribosomal RNA", at positions 108 to 851 of the family's 1533-position model. The record is from RNAcentral.